UAACUUAAUUGGUAGAGUACCAGCCUUCUAAGCUGAUAAAUCUUGGUUCGAAUCCAAG
Molecule: transfer RNA, 58 nt
Filed under: Albugo candida
Lineage: Eukaryota; Oomycota; Peronosporomycetes; Albuginales; Albuginaceae
Rfam family: tRNA
About the family: Transfer RNA (tRNA) molecules are approximately 80 nucleotides in length. Their secondary structure includes four short double-helical elements and three loops (D, anti-codon, and T loops).
Source: Rfam by way of RNAcentral